AUUGAACGCUGGCGGCAGGCCUAACACAUGCAAGUCGAGCGGAUGAAGGGAGCUUGCUCCUGGAUUCAGCGGCGGACGGGUGAGUAAUGCCUAGGAAUCUGCCUGGUAGUGGGGGAUAACGUCCGGAAACGGGCGCUAAUACCGCAUACGUCCUGAGGGAGAAAGUGGGGGAUCUUCGGACCUCACGCUAUCAGAUGAGCCUAGGUCGGAUUAGCUAGUUGGUGGGGUAAAGGCCUACCAAGGCGACGAUCCGUAACUGGUCUGAGAGGAUGAUCAGUCACACUGGAACUGAGACACGGUCCAGACUCCUACGGGAGGCAGCAGUGGGGAAUAUUGGACAAUAGGCGAAAGCCUGAUCCAGCCAUGCCGCGUGUGUGAAGAAGGUCCUCGGAUUGUAAAGCACUUUAAGUUGGGAGGAAGGGCAGUAAGUUAAUACCUUGCUGUUUUGACGUUACCAACAGAAUAAGCACCGGCUAACUUCGUG
RNAcentral lists this ribosomal RNA (484 nucleotides) under uncultured bacterium. Its description in RNAcentral is "partial 16S ribosomal RNA". It matches the Rfam family "Bacterial small subunit ribosomal RNA", at positions 30 to 507 of the family's 1533-position model. The record is from RNAcentral.